AUUGAACGCUGGCGGCAGGCCUAACACAUGCAAGUCGAACGGUAACAGGGAUCAGCUUGCUGAUUCGCUGACGAGUGGCGGACGGGUGAGUAAUGUCUGGGAAACUGCCUGAUGGAGGGGGAUAACUACUGGAAACGGUAGCUAAUACCGCAUAACGUCGCAAGACCAAAGAGGGGGACCUUCGGGCCUCUUGCCAUCGGAUGUGCCCAGAUGGGAUUAGCUAGUAGGUGGGGUAACGGCUCACCUAGGCGACGAUCCCUAGCUGGUCUGAGAGGAUGACCAGCCACACUGGAACUGAGACACGGUCCAGACUCCUACGGGAGGCAGCAGUGGGGAAUAUUGCACAGUGGGCGCAAGCCUGAUGCAGCCAUGCCGCGUGUAUGAAGAAGGCCUUCGGGUUGUAAAGUACUUUCAGCGGGGAGGAAGGGAGUAAAGUUAAUACCUUUGCUCAUGGACGUUACCCGCAGAAGAAGCACCGGCUAACUCCGU
This 489-nucleotide ribosomal RNA is filed under the name uncultured bacterium. RNAcentral's name for it is "partial 16S ribosomal RNA". It matches the Rfam family "Bacterial small subunit ribosomal RNA", at positions 30 to 506 of the family's 1533-position model. The record is from RNAcentral.